This 5156-nucleotide long non-coding RNA is filed under the name Gallus gallus (chicken). Its description in RNAcentral is "lncRNA (ENSGALG00010015470.1)". Lineage: Eukaryota; Metazoa; Chordata; Aves; Galliformes; Phasianidae. The record is from RNAcentral.
UAAACAUUUUUUUCAUGCUACUCACACAUCCUUAAAACUAGAGCAAGCAUUUUGCAGACUACAAGCAUACUCCAAGAAGCCAAACUUCACACCUCCAAACUUUAUUUGGAUUAAAUACUGUUCUGCUAGAUAGAAGCAGUGAUUCUGCUCAUCAGACAUACUGCUGCCUCAUCAAGAAUUGCUAUGUUUAUUUUGCCAGAGGCUGUAUCUUCAGAAAGUAACCAAUGGUAGAGAAGCCCAAAUGAAACACAUCUGCAGAACAGAGACACUGUUACCCACAUCUUUCUCACAUCUUUCUUCUCUAUGAAGCAGAACUAUAGUAGCUUUAUUGCUUACUAAGUCUUCCAGAAACACUAGAGAUGCUGUCACUUAUGGGAGGACACACUUUGUUCAAAAAAAAAGAAAAAAGAAAAAAAGAAGAAAAAAAGAAAAAGAAAAAGAAAAAAAGAGAGAAAGAAAGAAAAAGAAGACAAGAACACAGGUUUUUGAAUGAAGACUCUUCCACAGCUGCAGGCAUAUCACACAGUAGACUGGCAGGAGAAUACUUCCUUCUCAUCUAUGUUCAGCAGAGGAAGAGUGGGAUUUUCUACCUGGCUCUAACCUGAAGAAAGAGUUCUUUCCUCAUAGCGCUACUGCUGGCCUGGGCUUCAUCCUUCCCGUAAAACUGAAUACACAUCUUCAGCAUUUCCUGUUGUCCCUCUUCAGACCCAGGAUGCCCAGUACAGGCCAAGUAAAGACUGCUGUGUACCUGUUCUAGCAGAUGAGACGUCAGGAAGUUCUUCUUCUUCUUCUUCUUCUUUUUUUUUUUUUAGUGUUUCACUAACACUUUUCAAACUAGCUAGAGCUACUUGAUAUCAACCAUAACACUUGGGACUGCUAACUGCCAGAGAGGGUUCAUUAAAGAGCUUUAAAUCUUUCUCUGACUAAAGUUUUCAGUUGUGUGAAUUAACUAAGUACUAGUUACCUACUCACUACUCUGGUCAAGGCAGGGAAAACAUUUUGUACUGUUCUACUAGACUGCUGUUUGUUAUAUAAGUUUCUGAAGCUUAUCAUUAAAACAGGCUUUGGUGUCACUGAAACUGUAACUCAGUUAACAGUGCCAAGAGCUGAUGGGAUAAACAACAUAUUGAAGUGUUUUUAUUGUCUUAUUGAUAAAGCUGUUUUGUAAUAUUUUCUUCUGUGUUCACACAGACUGUGUGUCCUAAUACUCAGUGACCCAUUGCCCCCUAAGUCAUUGAAGUACUCAGAAAUUUUAUGACCGGUCUUCCGUCAGGAAGUUAUACACAAGCUGAACUUCAGGCAUGUGAAGCAUCUCAUUGAAGUUUCCCAUUUCAAGUUCAUACCCAUGUGUCUGUAGGAUGAUAGUAUCUCAGCAUCUUCAUGCUUCUCGAUUAAAGGCUAGUAAUUGGAGCCAGCUUCCAGUAGUAUGGGCAACGUUUCCUUCUGCAGCACUGAGGUCUCAGGAUAGGAGCUCCUGUAAUAAAAAGAGAUAAAAAGGAUAGCCCAAGGGAAGUCAGAUUUACUGUUUCUGGAUGGGCCUACCUCAUGUAUUUCAAAUCCCAGUGGCCAUACCAGGACUAUAGCUUGUACAAAGUGAUGGCUGUGGGCUCUUGUCCUCAGCUAAUCUUGCUGCACCAGUAACCACUAAUCUUUCCUGUACCUGGAGCUGGCUACAGUCACCAUCAUUCUUGACAUUGCCAUAGCCCAGAGACAUAAGUAAGGAGACCAGAGAUAAAGUGACACCAAUGCACAACAAAAGGAUCCCAGGUGUACCAAGCCUCUCACUGAAGAAACUCAUUUCUCCCUUUUGUUCUGGAGCCAGAGAGUACUUGACAUCUUUGAGGUUUCUUGAGAGGUUUCUUCAUGGCCUUUUCCACAUAUCUGAAGCAUAACCUCUGACUUAUUUUCAUCUUAAAGCAAAAGUGAAAAUCUAUCAGAAGAGAACACCAAAGAAGAAAAAGUUGAUGAAAACUCCUGACUACUUGGAAGACAAAAUCAGAAAUGUUGCAGGUAUUUAUAAUAAAUGAACUGUUUGGACUAUAAGCUAUCUCUAUGAAGAGAAAUGUUGCCUUUGCUCCAUUCUCUGUAGUGAGGACAUUUGGACUGCAUUAAGCCACAGAGUGGGAGGGGAUUUCAGAAAAUUUUUCCUGCCAAAAUUGCAUGUAAGGCUGCUUAAAAAAAAAUAAGAGUCUGAUUGUUAUAAAGCUUAAUGUUAUGAUGUUUUCAAUUAGUUUAAAAGCUUUUUUUAUUGAUCAUUUUUAUUACGGUUGUUCAGUUAUUUUGUAACUCUUAUUUGGAAUAAGUCACAGUUUAUUUAAAGCAUCUUGAACUGCAUUGCUUUUUCAAGUCUUAUCAAGAACGAGUACUGUGCUGGGUCAGUCUAUACACUUUUAAGUUUUAGCAUUUUUAAUGUAAUGUUUCAAUGUUCAUUUUGUGUUUGUUUUUUAUCCAUUGACCUUGUUUUGUGAGAUUUUGUGUAAGGCUUAGCUUCAGUUUAUUUGAGGGUGCUAGACACCUUGUGGAAUUUUUGCUGUUGUUUUCUAAGUUUUAACAUAUUCUAAUACAUUUGUCUACAAGUCAAAUAUGAUAUGGAGACUUUUGUGAGUAGAUUUGUUUAUGUUACUUUUAUCUUACUUUCCUAACUUAUGUAAUGUAUCCUUAUUCAUUUGCAUUUAAAUAUUUCAUUUCUGGUUAAACAUAUUUUGUUCUGCCUUGAGCCUAGUUUCUGCAUGUUUUCUUAUUUUCCUAUUAAUGAUUUUAAAAUUCUGAAAACCAGUUGGUGUGUCAAGAAGUUCAGUGCUGUUUGGAUGAUAUCCAUGCCACAUAAACUUUUAAUACACAAGCACAACAGAUGAGUUGCAAUGCAAUACCUAUGCUGAAGAUUUGCCAGAGCUGAAGAUUUAGUAUUAAUUGAAUAUAAAUUGCUACAAUAUAAUUAUCCUAAGUACUUUAAGCUAUUAAAUAUAAGUAACUUGAUCUAUUUCUAAACCAAUUAUAAGCUGCAGGGAAUGUGAGGGAGAGGGAGGAGGUUGUGAAGGAAAACUGGAGAAAGAGAAAGGAAAUGGAGAAAGGAAUAAAUUAAAGACGAUCAAGUGAUUUGUAUGAAGGAAAAUACAGCUAUAAAAUUAUCUGUGAGAGCACGACAGGUUGUCUGCUAAUUUUUGAAUAAUUUAUGGAUGUAAAUAUAACUAUAAAUCUUUCCAUAUCAUACAUUUAAGAAAAAUGUAAGUAACACUUAAGGAAUUACUGUAGUGAUCAGGGAUAUCUGUGCUUCACAAAGAAAUGGGACGAGGUAAUAAGGAGAAGAAUGGAGUAUUUCAUUCCUUAAGCUGAUGCCAUACUCUUUUUUCCCUUCUGUCACAAAAAUCCUUUCUCUGCAUAACCAACCUCGAACUCUGACUGACAUGUCCCACAGCUAUAAAAAAGGACCACACUGUAAGAGAACUGCAUCACUAAACAACCUCAGCAUGCAUCUGAUGUUAUUAGGUUGUCCUUAAUCAAUCUGGAAAAGAGAAGACACCAGGAGGCUGAGAUCAGCUUAUGCUGGUGUCCAAUAAUUUAGCAGUUAUUCAGGUGCAUGUCUUUUUCACUAUAAAAUCCUUUUUUUCUUUCUCUUUCAUUUUUUUUUUUCCUUUUCCCUAGCCCUAUCUGAUGUUGGCUUCUUGAUGCUAUUCGUGUUUACAAUGUUUUGACAGAUGGUAGGCUCAGGGCAUAUUGCCCUUUCCACACAGAAUUCAGGGGGGAAAAAAAAGUGUUGUCAGUGCCUUGGAUAGCCUUUCUGAACAAACAGGCUUAGCUCAAGUCUCUAGAAGUUUAAAAAAAGAGGAGAAAUACGACUGUGACCAGAAAUGAGGGCCAACCAUAUAAGUUUAUUUUAAACUUCAAAAGUGGCAGUUUUACUCUGAAGCUGUUUCUAAAAUUCAGCAAAGGAGCAGAAGGGAGACAAAACUGAAGUGAGAAUGGGUGAACUGCUUAAGCACAUUAUCUGGCACUGUUCUAGUAAUGUGGAAAAUUUGUAAUGAAACAAAAUGUUUGAUAAUCUACAAACUCAAAUAAGGGACUCAUUAAAAACAUUUGUACAGUCCUUGCCACAGCUAAGUGAUACUUUGUGUGUAGGAUAAAUAUAAUAAUAAUAAUAAUAACAAUAAUAAUAAUAGUGGAAAUAUAAUUCCACAAGAAUUGGCUUAAAAAUAUAAGUUUGCCAAAAUUGAAAGAUAAAUGUUUAAGCAGCACUCAGUUUGGAGAAAGAAAGCUAAGCUUUUAACUUCAGACACUCCUCAUUUCUGAUUAAAUUCUUUAGCACUCUGAUUUCCUUUCCCAGAAUAUGAAAUCAGAUCACAGAAAGGGGAAAAAAAAGAUCCCAGAGAGGAGAGCAUUACUGACGGAAGCCAUGUGUCAUUAAUUCGGUUAUAAAUUAUUAGCUGAAAGCAGCCUCUCAGCAUUUGUAUUUGAUGAACAAAAAUUGAUUGCUUCAAGGGCAUUUCAAUCCUUUUGAUGUUACCAUCUUUUAGUCCACCACAAAUCUGAAUCCUUAACAGAAUGAUUAUAGCAUUAUAGUAAUCCUAAGAGCCAAUACUAAAGGAUUUGGAAGAGCAACUGAGAUCAAUAGUUUGAAAAAAGCAUGUCUUUUUGAGUUGACAGAGCUGUCUAGCCUGAUAGUAAACCUGAAAAAAAUAAGUGGGAACUCAGUACACAAGCAAUCUGCAGACUGAGCCUAACUGUGAUGAUGAGCCAUUUUUCUGAAUUGCUGUAUACGCCAAGAUCUCCAAAUAUUUCCACAGGAUUUAAGCAAAACUAAUGGCAACCAAGAGAUAUUUUACUAACAAUAAAAAAGAAGUUUCUGAAAUAAGUUUGUGAGUGUUUUCAGAGCUUUGUGAACUAUUCCAGAGGUUGGGAAGUUCUGUGAGGUCAACAUUCGUGUUUUGCAUAGACUUUGAGAUUAUUUGAACUGGGAUUUGAGGCAACAUUGUCUUAAUGAUUGUCUUACUUUUAGUUGCUUUGAAAUCUAGAAUUCGGGCCACACUCCAACACAGAGAUGAAAGUUCAGUCCUCUCAGCAAUAGAAUCGUGAGAUAUAGAGUAGACAGAAGGACCAUGCAUUCUUACUAUGUAAUCUAUACCAAAUUUUUAAAACUAUUUUAAGUAUGGAAGGAAGAG